GACGAACGCUGGCGGCGUGCCUAAUACAUGCAAGUCGAACGCUGAAGGAGGAGCUUGCUCUUCUGGAUGAGUUGCGAACGGGUGAGUAACGCGUAGGUAACCUGCCUGGUAGCGGGGGAUAACUAUUGGAAACGAUAGCUAAUACCGCAUAACAGUAGAUGUUGCAUGACAUUUACUUAAAAGGUGCAAUUGCAUCACUACCAGAUGGACCUGCGGUGUAUUAGCUAGUUGGUGGGGUAACGGCUCACCAAGGCGACGAUUCAUAGGCGACCUGAGAGGGUGAACGGCCACACUUGGACUGAGACACGGGCCAGACGCCUUCGGGGGGCAGCAGGAGGGGAACUUCGGCAAUGGACGGAAAGCUGACCGAGCAACGCCGCGGGAGGGAAGAAGGGUGUCGGAUCGUAAAGCUCUGUUGUAAGGGAAGAACGAGUGUGAGAGUGGAAAGUUCACACUGUGACGGUAUCUUAACAGAAAGGGACGGCUAACUACGUG
Molecule: ribosomal RNA, 495 nt
Filed under: uncultured bacterium
Lineage: Bacteria
Description: partial 16S ribosomal RNA
Rfam family: Bacterial small subunit ribosomal RNA
Source: RNAcentral